GGGUCGGGUCGAAAUCUCUUGCACAGUCUUCUUCUUCUUAAGCGAUCUGAAAUGGUAUUCCAUUGUUUCUCUCUAAUUUGGAUUUGAGUUAAUUUAAUUUAAUAUUGGUUACAGAGUCUCUUUGGUUUGUUUAUUAUUGGGUAUACGAUUAUAACUUUAUAUUAUUAACGGAACACUUUCUUUGCACCAAUGCAAGGGAAAUGAUGCGCUUUGAUAUUAAUAAUCUCAUUCAUUUUGUGAGUUGUGUUGUUCCAGAGCGGCUGCAAAACUUACCAUAAUAAUAGGGAUUAAUCUCAUUCAAUGUUGUUAUGCUUGAUUUCCAUCAUAUAGGUUUGUGGGACAGUUCUUAUGCACUUAUAGCACCCUACCAAUGUAUGCACUCGAUACGCAGAUAGAAGAGUUAUGUGAUAGUGUGAUGAUACAUAGAAGGUUUUUGAUCUCUAUGUAUACCUCUGGAUAGUUGGUUUUGCGCUGAUGAAUAGAACAUAACAGGAAUUGGUAAUGUUGAUUCAUUUCUAGUACUGUUGGUGAAGGAAGUUGAUAUGGGAACAGUAAAAAUAUUUUUAGGUUUUUUAUGUUAUUAGUGUGUUUGGUGAUUGUAAUAACUCAAUACGGUGGUUGAUGAAACCAUAUUAAUAAUGUCUUGGCUAUUGUAUCUGGAUAAUUAAUAUGUAGUGUGUCUGUCUGCUUGGGACAAAAAAAUUGACUAAUAACAUGUUUAUGUAGUAGUUCUUGACACAAUAUGGAUUUAUUGAUACUUCUGUUCCUACUAGAAUAUGAUGGUAAAAUUUUGGUCGCUGCUCUUUUGAACAUUAGUGUGUGCAAACAUCUUGCAGUACUUACACAUAACAUAACAAGCUUUAGUUGCAGCAGCAUUCAUGGAAAGCAAGCUAAUACUACAACAUCAUGAACUGAUCUUCUUCUUCAAGGCAAGGCAAAGCGACAUGAAUAUAGAAAAUGUACCCGCUGCUAACAUCCAAGGUGUGUGCAAAAGUAUUCGGGGCAUCAGGGGGUUUGCCAUCACUACAUCCUGUGGUGAAACAGGAUCAUAAGCGGGCCCCUAUUACUGUUGUUGCCUCUACGGUCCAAGCCAAGAUUAAGGACAUCACUAACAACUCACCAGCAUAAAAGUUCCCAAUGGAAAUAAAGCACAGGUCAAAUAGGAAGGUAUUACUCUCUUUUCCUUAAAUGAGAUCAUUGGCACCACCACAGAAGAGCUGAGCUGGUACUUAAGGCAAGACAGGAGGAGGGCGGUUCUUAAACAUGGUGGGCAGCCACGUGACACUUCUCUGUUCUAAAAGUUCAAUCAAAGUUGGACUUUCAAUAUAUAGUAAAUAAUAAUUCAUGGGGCAAUGCAUUGAUAACUUCUUAUACAGUUUUAGUGAUGUAUCAUGUGAACUAUAUUUAUACAACUCCUUUCAAAUGUAUUGGUUAAAAUGAAUCUUCACAAGAAGAGGAUGGAGAACAAUCGCCUUGCUACGCCCGACCGCCUAGGCACGUGCGCCUUUUGAGCUUUUGACAACUAUGACCCAUUCAAAAAAUACCCAUUUAACCCGUUUCCCAACACGUGUUUUACACAGGUGAAAUUACAUUUCACAGAAAAGGCCUUAAGGUUAAUUGGUUAAGAACACCGGUGCUAGAGGGUUAAGAGCCAUACUUGAAACGCUUCUAACCGACGCUAUGUAUGAGAUUCCAGAUGUCAAGACGGGAAAUGAUCGAUGAAGAGUCGGUUCGGUCAGUUGAUAAACCGGGAUGUGGGGGAAAAAUUCUUCGUGGUGGUGACGGUGCAUUAGAUGAUUGAUUAUCUAGCAAAGACCAAGUGUAAGGAA
This is a long non-coding RNA of Helianthus annuus (common sunflower), 1829 nucleotides long. RefSeq lists it as uncharacterized. NCBI's taxonomy places the organism in Eukaryota, Viridiplantae, Streptophyta, Magnoliopsida, Asterales, Asteraceae. The record is from RefSeq and is a predicted model, not a curated record. The transcript is spliced from 4 exons.